CGAAAAAGGAGAACAUUACAGAAAUCUAUCGUAAUAGGUACUUCAAGCAUCAAAAUCAGCCUUCCUGAACCCGAACGUACCGAAAUUGAAGCCAUGGAUGCGCAAUGGUGUACAGAAGGAGGGGAAUAUCUCCCGAUGUCCAAACUGCUUGACGGUUGGACCGAGGAGAAAAGGAGAAGAGUGGACACUGGCACAAUUGAUAAGUUUUACCACCAUAACUAUUCCAGCAAGACUUACCGCUCUAUGGUGGAAGUUAAAAGUUAUAU
Molecule: long non-coding RNA, 266 nt
Organism: Helianthus annuus (common sunflower)
Lineage: Eukaryota; Viridiplantae; Streptophyta; Magnoliopsida; Asterales; Asteraceae
Exons: 3
Source: RefSeq, a predicted model, not a curated record